RNAcentral lists this ribosomal RNA (191 nucleotides) under Muribaculum sp. RNAcentral describes it as "partial 16S ribosomal RNA". It matches the Rfam family "Bacterial small subunit ribosomal RNA", at positions 337 to 524 of the family's 1533-position model. Lineage: Bacteria; Pseudomonadati; Bacteroidota; Bacteroidia; Bacteroidales; Muribaculaceae. The record is from RNAcentral.
UCCUACGGGAGGCAGCAGUGAGGAAUAUUGGUCAAUGGGCGGGAGCCUGAACCAGCCAAGUCGCGUGAGGGAUGACGGCCCUACGGGUUGUAAACCUCUUUUGCCGGGGAGCAAUGCUCCGCACGAGUGCGGAGCGGGAGAGUACCCGGAGAAAAAGCAUCGGCUAACUCCGUGCCAGCAGCCGCGGUAAU